RNAcentral lists this transfer RNA (96 nucleotides) under Helianthus annuus (common sunflower). RNAcentral describes it as "hypothetical non coding rna". The stretch from base 22 to 93 matches the Rfam family "tRNA". From Rfam's summary of the family: Transfer RNA (tRNA) molecules are approximately 80 nucleotides in length. Their secondary structure includes four short double-helical elements and three loops (D, anti-codon, and T loops). The record is from RNAcentral. Lineage: Eukaryota; Viridiplantae; Streptophyta; Magnoliopsida; Asterales; Asteraceae.
CGUACAGCAGAUUGGCAACAAGGUCCCAUGGUCUAGUGGUUAGGACAUUGGACUCUGAAUCCAGUAACCCGAGUUCAAGUCUCGGUGGGACCUUCC